Molecule: ribosomal RNA, 722 nt
Filed under: uncultured bacterium
Lineage: Bacteria
Description: bacterial SSU rRNA
Rfam family: Bacterial small subunit ribosomal RNA
Source: RNAcentral
AGUCCCGCAAGGGAUCAGUAGAGUGGCAAACGGGUGAGUAACGCGUGGGUGACCUACCUUCGAGUGGGGGAUAACCUUCCGAAAGGAGGGCUAAUACCGCAUGACAGCCUCUGAAUAGAUACAGGGGACUCAAAGCCGGGGAUCGCAAGACCUGGCGCUUGGAGAGGGGCCCGCGUCCGAUUAGCUAGUUGGUGGGGUAAUGGCUCACCAAGGCUCCGAUCGGUAUCCGGCCUGAGAGGGCGGACGGACACACUGGAACUGAGACACGGUCCAGACUCCUACGGGAGGCAGCAGUGGGGAAUUUGUUCGCAUGGGCGCAAGCCUGACGACGCAACGCCGCGUGGAGGAUGAAGACCUUCGGGUCGUANACUCCUUUCGACCGAGAUGAAUUCUCACUGACCUAACACGUCGGUGGGGUGACAGUAUCGAGGGAAGCAGCCCCGGCUAACUCCGUGCCAGCAGCCGCGGUAAUACGGGGGGGGCAAGCGUUGUUCGGAAUUACUGGGCGUAAAGGGUUAGUAGGUGGCCAACUAAGUCAGACGUGAAAUCCCUCAGCUUAACUGGGGAACUGCGUCUGAGACUGAUUGGCUCGAGGACAGGAGAGGAACGCGGAAUUCCAGGUGUAGCGGUGAAAUGCGUAGAUAUCUGGAGGAACCCGGGUGGCGAAGGCGGCGUUCUGGACUGUUUCUGACACUGAAUAACGAAAGCCAGGGGAGCAAACG